Molecule: long non-coding RNA, 412 nt
Organism: Pipistrellus kuhlii (Kuhl's pipistrelle)
Lineage: Eukaryota; Metazoa; Chordata; Mammalia; Chiroptera; Vespertilionidae
Exons: 3
Source: RefSeq, a predicted model, not a curated record
UCCACUCCUGACGGAAGGACCCUGUGCUGUUUGUGUCCCAGCUCCUGAACGCUCGCCCACCAGCCCGCCCAGAUGUCCUGCCAGCAGAGCCAGCAGUGCGUCCCCAAGUGCCCUCCCAAGUGCUGCACCCCCAAGUGCCCUCCCAAGUGCUGCACCCCAAAAUGCCCUCCUAAGUGUCCCCCCAAGUGCCCUCCAGUCUCCUCCUGCUGCAGUGUCAGCUCUGGGGGCUGCUGUGGCUCUGGCGGUGGGGGCUGCUGUAGCUCUGGGGGUGGGGGCUGCUGCCUGAGCCACCACAGGCCCCGCAGGUCUCUCCGCCUCAGACACAGAAGCUCUGGGGGCGGAGGCUGCUGUAGCUCAGGGGGCUCCAGCUGCUGUGGAGGGAGCUCUGGAGGGGGCUCCAGCUGCUGUGGAG